Pogoniulus pusillus (Red-fronted tinkerbird) is the source of this 1536-nucleotide long non-coding RNA. RefSeq lists it as uncharacterized. Lineage: Eukaryota; Metazoa; Chordata; Aves; Piciformes; Lybiidae. The transcript is spliced from 2 exons. The record is from RefSeq and is a predicted model, not a curated record.
ACUCCCCUUUAAAAUGGGCCCCAGGAAAGGCAGAAGCCCUAAGCUGUGCCCAACUGGGCAGAGGGAUCCUCUUCCUCCUCAUCACUGCUGAAGUUUUUCCUGAGUGAAGAUUGAAGAGUGCAAAACUCCAUGGAAAUAUAUCUACAGUGCCUUUGCUGAUUAUAAUGAUGUAGCAGGGAAGCCUUCAAAAUCAAGGCCGUAUUAAUAAACUACUUCUCAAGAGGUCAUAUUCUCACAAUGACCAAGAAGAUCAGCCAGAGCUGUUUUACCAAAACUCAGCUAUUUCAAAAUCACAAGACAAAAACUAUCAUCUUUCACUUUCUAAAACUGGCAAGAAUAUAACAUUUCAGCUGUGAAGUUGCUUUUCUCCCUUCAUUCCACUUUACAGCUCUGACAACCAAGAUGUUUAUAGCACUAUUAAUAUCAAACCUGCGUAUGUGGAGUGACUUGGGGUUUGUUUUGAUUCAAAUCCUGCAGAAACAAAUGUGCUGAGAGCAGGAAAAAUAAAAUUGGAAACAAGAUUAAACUUUUCAGUGUUGAGGAUAGCCAACCCUUACAAUAGUAAGUCAAAGCAUGCACUGCCCCCUGCAAUGCUAGGAAUUCUUGGUUUAAUAAUGGAUUUAUUUUUACAAGUAGUUUAAAGCACAGUCAUCUCAUUUAGCUUGAUAACAGUGGUUUACAAAUGAGGAAGGAGCAGUCCUUUUCAUCUCAGAAAUUACUUGGUGAAAAAAAUCUGGUUUCUGUUAUAAUGGCUGAUAAAAGUAAGACUAUUUACUUCUCGCCUUAAGGAGGCAAAGCAAUCCCCUCCCUUCUGAAUAAAAAGUCACAGAUAGCUGCAGCUGAAAACAGCUGCAGGUGAUUAACUGGAAAUAACUAGCAACUUUUUGGCAAUCUUAACAAGGACAUCAGGAAAGAUAAACUUCUCUUUAUCAUAUCGUUAAUGAUUGUUCCUACUGCUGUUGCUACAUACAGUUUGAAUCUCUGUGCUGAGUUUCACACUUGGCUAGACACAGAAAAACAAAUAAAGAUGUGCUCCUUGUCCUUGGGAGUUAACGAUCCAAAAAUAGCCCAAACACACACAUACGUUCAUGCCAGGUGAGAGCAUUGGUUGGUGCUGGCAGAGAACUAUUUUCUGCCAAUUCUAAACUGGAUCAAUUGAUAAUGCAGACACCUCACACUGCCUGACUGGUGGUCUGUGCGUUUCAUGACCAUUAAAAUCACAUGUGGAUGCUGUUAAUAUUUAGAAAGUGGAAGAUCAGCUUGAGUUAGAAAAUUUGUAGUGGCCUUUUGUGAAUAUUUGUCUGGAAGAUUUAUGAUAGAAAGAAAAAAAAAUCACAAGGAAUUUGGAGACCACUGCUGUGAGUUUUGCUUUGUGAUAGGAGCAUAGAAAAUAGUAAUUUUCCUUGCAUUCAGCUUCUGCUUUGGUCUUUGUGCAAAGCACUAUUAAAAGAUGCAAGAUUUUCCACUGAGAUUUUGCUCUCUUUUGGCAUCCUCUUUCUUCUUCUACUUAAAUUUUUAUUAAUCUUUUCUGUGAAU